Molecule: non-coding RNA, 3876 nt
Organism: Sus scrofa (pig)
Lineage: Eukaryota; Metazoa; Chordata; Mammalia; Artiodactyla; Suidae
Source: RefSeq, a predicted model, not a curated record
AAAAAAAAAAAAAAAAAAAAAAAAAAAAAAAGCAACCAAUCAACUAUGCUUCAAUUUUAAAAGGCGGGAGGAGAAAUUAAAACAGAAAUUCAGGAAACACCUGGCAAAGUCACACAAGAAAACACGCAGUAAGAUAGAUAUUAGAAAUGAAAAAAGAGGAUCUCAUUAUAGUCCCUUGUUGGUAUUGAAAAUAUAAUAAGAGGAAAUUAGCAACUUACAUAAGCAUAAUAUUUCUGAAGAAAAUAUUAGCACGUUAACUCAAUAUACAAAAGACUUAACACAUGAGCAAAUCGAGUUUAAACCAGGAGCGCAAGAUUGGUUUAAUGUAAUUUUCCACACUGAUUUUUUAAGGGAGAAAAAUCAUGUAAAAAUAUUAUCUCAUUAUAUGCCAAUAAAGGAUUGAUUGAAAUUCAAAAACAAAUGCAUCAAUUACGCUCAUUUACUCAUUCAGAGACCUAGUGCUACUGGAGCUGUUUCUCCUUGGAUACAAGGUUUGUCUGGUUCCCCCUGUGGUUUAGUGUGUGGCGUUAAGAUCGAACCCCAGGCUCCUAAGCACCGAGAAGGGAGUUGGGAGAUCAUGGCCCCCUUCCCAGGGCAGGAGGUGACAGGUGUCUGGUGAACUUUUGCAGGUGCCUGUCGUUGUGACACCAGUACUAGAGCCGGCUCUAGAUUGAUUGGUGGGCUUUGGAAAUUUGAAAGUACUGAGCACAAGAAAUAUUUGUUUUAUUCUUCCCCUGUACAGUGUUUCAUAAAAAUGAAAAGAUGAAAUGAGGGGAGCUCCCACUUGGCGGCGUCCUGGGAACACUGGGACGUGGGUUCGAUCCCCAGCGUGGCACAGUGGGUCGGGGAUCCAGCGUUGCCGCAGCUGCAGCUUAGGAUGCGAUGGCGGCUCUGAUUUGAUCCCUGGCCCGGUAGGAGUUCCAUAUGCCGCGGGGCGGCCAAAAAUGGAAAAAAAAAAUAGAGAUGAUGAGCAUUUGGAGACUAUAGUAGGCAGAGUGAUACGUGUGUGGAUUUUGAUUUUUAGAGGUGGCACAUUUUGAGAGAUCUGAGAAUGUUGAAUGUGUGGAUUGUUUUGCACACAGAGCCCAGUAUUUGAAGGGGAAGGUGUCGUGGGCAGAAUUCUAAACCGGCCCCAGGAUACCCGCCCCCACCGCUCCCACUGCAGGGUCCACACACUGUAGGAUUUCACCCCUUGAACGGGAACAUGAUGAAGGUGCUCCUGGGAUUGCAUCCAGGCUGUGGUGAAGAGGAAGAGAUAGGGCAGAGGUAACUAAAGACACUGGGCUUUCAGUUAAAGGGAAGGAGGCAGUGAUGGGUGGUCCUGACCAAAUCAGCUGAGCCCUUUCAAGAAGGUCCAGAAGUCUCCCAGAAGGAUAUAGUGCAGGAAAGAAAGGCUCUCCUGCUGACCUAGAAGAAGCAAAACACCCUGCUGUAAAGUCCUGAUGAGGGGGACCAUGUGGCGAGGACCUGAGGGGGGUGCUGGCAGCAGCUGACCGUCAGCGAGGAAGUGGGGGCUUCAGAAAUCAACUGCAGGCAACCGGAUUCUGUCAGCACCCAGAAUGCACUUGAAAAUGCCUUGUUUCCUGCUCAGACCUCAGGUGAGAGUGCAGCCCAGUCCACAGGUGGAUGUCAUCGUGGGGAGACCAGGAGCAGAGGCCUGGGUUAAUUAACCCCUCGGACGCACAGACUGCUGAGAGCAGAGAAUGAGCCCUCUCGUGCACAGGCGCUGUUUGCACAGGCUGAGAUGGUACUGCUUCAUUAGGCAACAUAGGAAACUCAGGCCGAGGGGAAACUAUUUAUGAGGUUCUGUGCAAGGUACACCCCACACGACAGCAUGGAGCUCCUCCUUAAGAAUACUGUGUAACAAGCGCCCUGCUGUUUCUCACAGGCAGUAACAUGCUUAAGUGGGGCUCCUUUGCCAGGAGCUCAAGGUCACGCUUGCCUUGUCUUUGAGCACCCACGUGUGUUCUGCUCCAUAUACACCCCAUAACUGCUCCCCUGCGUGCCCUUUCUUUCACCCCAAAGAGCUCUCUGUUUAUGAGCAGUUACCUGUGGGCUGGUUUUACCUUAUUGGCUCCAUUGCACGGCUCGACUGGACCCAGAGACCCUUAUUUUUCUCUUCAUGAUGUUUUCCUCUAAGUUCAUAGAAUGCAGAACAACAGUGCUUAUGAAAACAAAGGUGAUUCGGGGAUGGAGGGAUAACAGACUCCUCUCCAGGUGACCAUCACCUGGAAGAAUGAAACAAAUUGCCGAACAGCACACAGUGCAGUGAUGGGGCUUUUCAAAGAUGCCCCAUUGUUUCGACCGCUUUCCAAGCUUUAUUCAUGUCCAUGGGCGUUGAUCCAGACAGGGCCACCAGCCUAGAGCCUGGGCACAAUUUCAACAUGAGAGGCAAGAAACAAUUGCCAGCCUCUGUGUUGUAGUGUCCAGAAUUUCAAGUGCUGCCUAGACAUCUUGAAGCCUCACGGGAGCCCGAAGGGCUACUUGUGAGUUUCCUGCUCACCCAGGUGUGUCCCCCUCCCAGCAGGAAAGGGUCCCCACCUGGCAGACCCUCCUCGCGCGUGGGCCGGCAACGUGAUUUAAAGCAGCCAAUCGCAUCCUCCCGUGAGAAAGAGGUGGAGCUUCGUGUCUUGUUGCCACAGAGCCGGCUUCUGCCAGCUCCGCAGGUUCACGCUGUUCCUAGCUGGGCUUCACGUGCUGGGAGCUGUCUUCCCCCCAAAUGUUUCUGGCUCCACGAGGAUGAGACUGAGAACCAAAGAAGAGGCGGUUUCUGCCUUCGGAACCCACAGCUGAGUGGAGGAUUCAGGUCGUCUGGCAGCAGGAGGGUCCGCCUCUUCCACUCUUGGUGACGUUUCACAUUCUGGGAACCUCCUCCCGUCACCCCACAAUGGCGUUUUGUGUCUUGAUCCCCGUGGAAGAGCCCGGCGCACACACAGCUUAGCCUCUUCAUUCCUGGAGCCGUUCUACGUAUGCGAGACUGAAGCCAGGACAGAGGUCUUCAUCCUGGGUGUGCUUAUUCUUCACACCCUUCCCGAUGGUGGAGGUGAAGGUGCUGGUGGAUGAUAUAUCAGAAGCGACACCCCGGAACAGAGACCGCCUGUGACUGGAGCCCCAUUCCUGGCUGAACUGUACUGGGAAGAGCAGACCUGAGCAAGAUCUCUGAGACUUGGCCUCUGGCUUGAAGGUUGCACCACGGUGAGACUGAGAAGGCGCUUCCUGGAGGCCCCCAUUGACUCUGAAAGUUUCCAGUCUGGAAGAAAGAGAGCAGGUCGCUGCAAGCACUGAGGAUGAAAAGCCUCUGGAAACAAGGAACCGCCAGGCUUGGUCAGUGCCCCACCUGGAGAACAAGACCAGGGCAUUCAAGUUGCCUUGAUGACUGAGAGAUUCAAGAACCACCGUUCAAAAUAGUAGCCAUUAUGGAAAGGGGAUUUCAAAAGAAACACGGACUCCUAAGAGGUUAUAUCUAAAACUAACCAAAUCAGGUAGAAGAGACGGCAACAUGAGGGUCAAGCAGCAUCAAAACCAAGAACCCCAGGUGCCACUACAAUUAUUCUCCACUGAGAAGGAACAUUUGCUUCAAGCACUGACAACUCACUUGAAAACGUUAGUGCAGGAUGCUGCUCCUCUUUUUGCAUUUGUUAUGUUUAAACAGAGGAAACUGGAAAAUGGGCACAUACAAAAUAUAAGUGAGAUCUGAUGCAUGUCUGAGAGGCAGCUGAAUUUCAUUUGGGUCUUAAUUCAGGCUAAAUCUUGUCUUGGGAAAUUUUAAAAGUUAUUAAACACGGGGGUGAAGAGAGUUGGAUAAUUUUAAAAUGGCACAUGUGGCCGGGAAGUUUGAGGUUAGUAGAUGCAAACUAUGACGUUGAGAAUGCAUAA